Non-coding RNA from Pimephales promelas (fathead minnow), 3256 nucleotides. NCBI's taxonomy places the organism in Eukaryota, Metazoa, Chordata, Actinopteri, Cypriniformes, Leuciscidae. The record is from RefSeq and is a predicted model, not a curated record.
GCCGUUAAAACAAACAUUGUAUCCAUUUUCCUUUCGCAGAUAUAGCAAAUUUAAUUCGGGAGCUGUGACGUCAUUCUCCACCCCAUUUCUUCUGAAUCGCACACAAAAUGUGUCUUUCGUUUGUGCUUGGUUUGUGCUGAUUUGUGCCGUUAAAAUUAACAUGGUAUCUAUAUCCCCUCCUUUAGAAAUAUCAAAUAUAAUUCGGGGCAGUGACGUCACUCUCCACCCCACCUCGUCUAAAUCGCACCAAACCGGUGUCGUUUGUUUGUGCUCGAUUUGUGCCGGUUUGUGCCAUUGAAAGAAACAUUGCAACUACGAUCCCCUCUUAAACAUAUUUAAAAAAAAAAACUUUUUAAGCAGUUACAUAACUCUCCACCCCAUUUGUUCUAAAUCGUUGCAAAACUGUGACGUUUGUUUGUGCUCAAUUUGUGCCGGUUUGUGCCGUUACGAUGAACAUUGUGUAUUUUUCCCCUCCUUAGAAAUAAAACAUUGGAUUCGGGACAGUGACGUCACUCUCCACCCCACCUCGUCUAAAUCGCCCCAAAACGGUGCCUUUUGUUUGUGCUCGAUUUGUGCUGUUUUGUGCCGUAGAAAGAACCAUAAUAAAUUAUACAAUUCUUCAGAUAUCCCAAAAUCUUUGGAGGAGUACUGAUGAGUGACGUCACGAAAGCAAGCCGCGCUCUCCAUCUCGUCUACAAACCUGUCUGGUGCGUUUGUGCUCGCACAGGGCCGCGGCUGCUGUCAUUGUUCCUUUCUUCCUCUUUAGAUACGGAGACUUCGUCAAGCUCAAGAUAAAAAAAAAAACGGUCAUCAUAUUUCUCCCAGGCAAAAGAGUUUCUCCUACAGUAAGCCACGUAAUGUCCAAGAGAUUUCCUGGUUGGUCCUGGAAUGAAUGCAACAACCCCUCGCAAAGUGAACCGCUGAUUGUCUAGCUCCAUGUCGACAGGGAUUUCAGACAGUGGAUGCUAUCUGGACACUCUUGGGGGGAUUUCAGUGGCUUCAGACACUUGGACCUGUUGAGAUGUAGCCCAUCUUCCAGUGCUGCUUGGAGGCUUUUCAGUCCACCAGUUUGUAGAAUAUCUACAUUGACUGGUAGGAGAUAGAUGGUUCUUGAAGAUUUGGUAUUUCGGCUGCAGUAUGGAGAAGAGCACUCAGCUAUUUUGAGUGCUCUUUGUCGAGAUAAUGACAGAAUGAUCCGCUGUCACAGAAUGCCGAGCAAAGGCACUGGCAAAAGGAAUCAAAGGCACAGGUUUAUGUCUGCAUGCAACCACUCAGAGCAAGGGGUCAGGUAGGACAGUCGCUUUUUUGGAGGAACACCGAGACCUUUCCAGUUUUCAACAGGGUCUUCCUCCACUAAUUGUUGCCUAACUUCUGUGUCCUGCUCACUGUGGGCACUUUUUGUCUUCUGAUUCUUUGUCUCAAUGUGCUCUGUGUUCACCGGUGCAGAUGAAAUCCUCAUGUUUCCCUCAAGAAACUCAAGGUGGCGUAUGACAAAACGGUCAAGUCGGAUGGGGAGGCUUUCAUGUUUGAAAAGGCCAUGUUUUAUGUUUUUAAAUUCAGCCUCAACAUUUGCAGAGCUUGCUGUGUUGUGUACGCUUUUGAAGUGUGGAACCAUCACAGCUGUCCAAAGGGAUUUCUGUAACCCAUGUUUUCAGAUCUGUGGGGAGUGUCUCCUCGACUCCCGUCACCUCUGUUGAAUGAUCAUCUUCAGUGACACAUGGCAAGACUCCCUCUGCAAAUCGUCUCUUUAAUUGUGCUUUGCAUGUUUCCGAGGCAACAGGCAUUCCCACCGGCUAAUGAGCUUGAUGCAGUGUGCAACAUCUACUCUGAUGAAGCAAGGUGGUAGCUUUGAGUCUUCGGGUUUCCUUGCCAGCACUCCAAAGCACUGAUUGAUGUAUGUUUUCAGGUCUGGGUAAGGAGUGAAGGCUUUAACCAGUGCUCCAAGCAAAGCCAAGGAGAAAUCACAGACCGCCUCUUUGGGCACAGCAGCACCUGCUCGUUGCCAUUCCGUGAGCCAGUUGGCAAUAGAAUUGAUGGUGUGGCUCUCUGAUAGCAUUUGCACUACUGGAAUAUGAUCUCCCUGUGAACACAAAACUCCUUGAUACAGGAAGACAUGUCCAGAAUUGCCACAGGGUCUUCUCAGUCUUUUCACAACUGUACCUGUUGCAUCAAAACUCACAAAUGAGCCAGAGUACUUGGAUUUCAUUUGAUACACUUGCAUCUGAGAUGGGGUCCAAUAAUGGCAAAAAAACCUGUCAAGGCCUAUGUCAUGAAUGCUUCCGUUGUGGGGUACACUGUAUUUUAGUAGAUGCAAUGACAUGAUUGGGUCUUUGUCUCCAAGUUCUUUGUCACCCAUCUCUUGUUUGGCUUUUCUUAAUGUUGCCAGAUUUGGCAGGUGGCUAGGCUCUGGGUCACCAACAUCCAUCAUUUUGUAAGCCUCAGCUGCUCGCCAUACAUGUGCUGGUUUUCGGCCUUCCCAGAGUUCUUUAGAGACACGUGUUCUCAGAUCCCCUGAUAACUUCCGUUUUGCUUUGCCAGUAUGGAGACUUUCAUCAACAUUACGGAUUAUGCAUUGAAGCACAACUGGUUCAUUGUCCACUGGCAUGUUCUCUGCUGUUAUAGACAAUUGUGCGUCACACUCGGUGCAGUUCCCAAUUAUGUCUAUGUAGUGAGAUGCAUUAUUUGGAUACAUUUUUGCCCUUCUGAAUCUAAGAGUGCAUGAGGUCUUGAUAUUUUUCCAUAUCUCUUCAUACAAGACGUGUGUCCAUGCACCACGUUUCAGGAUGGUGUAUUCUCUUUUGUCAUUGUAAUCAACCUUUUCAGGCCAGAUUUCCACCCAUCUCUGAUGAGAGAGACUGAUCUCAAAUGUAAUGUCGUAGCAUUGACUUUUGUCUGCCUUUGACACUGCUGAAUGAAAAUCUGCUGAGCUUUCUUGUGAGUUGUCACUGUUUGGACCUUGAUCUUGGGUAUCUGUGUCGAUUUUGCUUAGCUCAAGGAUUUGCCAUAUAUUGUGCCUAUUUGUCUUCACAAUAGUAUAAAGGUUCUUUGGUGAAACUUUGUUAUUUAGUUGUUUGCUUAAAUCUGCCCACACCUUUUCUGUGGGAACUGCUAUGUUUGUUCCUGUAAUAAUCUGUUCCUUUGCAGCACUGAUGACUUUGAUGAUGUCAUCACGUCCACAGGCUGGUUUCCUAGGCAUCUGAUCAAAACAGGAAUUAUGUUUAAUGUAGUUUUUAAUAAAGUAGUUGGGCCAAAUUAA